GAGAGGCCAAGAGCAAUAAGGACUGCUAAUCCGCACCCCCAUGGUUAA
This 48-nucleotide transfer RNA is filed under the name Hoplisoma tukano. Its description in RNAcentral is "Corydoras tukano partial tRNA-Ser". The record is from RNAcentral. Lineage: Eukaryota; Metazoa; Chordata; Actinopteri; Siluriformes; Callichthyidae.